UUUUCUUUGCGCUGGAGGAGGGUGUUGGAGGAGGUCCUGGAAUCAUGAGAACUUCCAAUGACUUGGCAAAUCUCUCUGAAUCACUGACGUUUUGCUGCCACCUCCACCCAUGCCUGUCCCUUGCUUGCUCCCUCGCCGGGUGUCAGUUCACCAGCCUACGUGCUGAGAAGAAAAGUUAAAAAGGUCUGGCCAGGAAACCUUCAAGUAGCAGCACUUUCCCUUUUAAGCAGCUGGCGCGAAAGAGCGGUGGGGAUGCAAUCCACGCACCGAGGGACAGCGGGACCUCUGCGUUUUGGUGGAUGGUGGAGGAAAUCUGCCCGUGCCAAGACCUGCUGGUGCUCUCUGCCUGCACAUAUGCACCAUAUGCCCAAUCUUUACUUAAUGUAAAUCAAUGCCACUGAUGCCAACGAAGCUGGGCUAUUUUAGCCGUCGAGAGCCUAGCCUUCUGUAUCGUAUGCCCUCAGCUGUGACUUCGUGGCUCAAAAAAUAUUAAGCAACACUCAGUGGGGAGCAAGGGGGCACAUUCACAUGUAAUUCAAAUGAAAUCAA
This is a long non-coding RNA of Gymnogyps californianus (California condor), 549 nucleotides long. RefSeq lists it as uncharacterized. The record is from RefSeq and is a predicted model, not a curated record. NCBI's taxonomy places the organism in Eukaryota, Metazoa, Chordata, Aves, Accipitriformes, Cathartidae. The transcript is spliced from 4 exons.